RNAcentral lists this non-coding RNA (104 nucleotides) under Belliella pelovolcani. RNAcentral describes it as "SAM-I sequence". It matches the Rfam family "SAM riboswitch aptamer (S box leader)". Rfam says of the family: The SAM riboswitch is found upstream of a number of genes which code for proteins involved in methionine or cysteine biosynthesis in Gram-positive bacteria. Lineage: Bacteria; Pseudomonadati; Bacteroidota; Cytophagia; Cytophagales; Cyclobacteriaceae. The record is from RNAcentral.
UGCUUAUCGAGAAAGACCGAGGGAAGGGCCCUGCGACGUCUUAGCAACCUGAAUCAACAAGGUGCUAACUCCCAUUCUGAAAUUAGUUCAGAAAAAGAUGAGCG